RNAcentral lists this ribosomal RNA (1206 nucleotides) under Enterococcus faecium. RNAcentral describes it as "bacterial SSU rRNA". It matches the Rfam family "Bacterial small subunit ribosomal RNA", at positions 49 to 1251 of the family's 1533-position model. The record is from RNAcentral. Lineage: Bacteria; Bacillati; Bacillota; Bacilli; Lactobacillales; Enterococcaceae.
GUAUACAUGCAGUCGACGCUUCUUUUUCCACCGGAGCUUGCUCCACCGGAAAAAGAGGAGUGGCGAACGGGUGAGUAACACGUGGGUAACCUGCCCAUCAGAAGGGGAUAACACUUGGAAACAGGUGCUAAUACCGUAUAACAAUCAAAACCGCAUGGUUUUGAUUUGAAAGGCGCUUUCGGGUGUCGCUGAUGGAUGGACCCGCGGUGCAUUAGCUAGUUGGUGAGGUAACGGCUCACCAAGGCCACGAUGCAUAGCCGACCUGAGAGGGUGAUCGGCCACAUUGGGACUGAGACACGGCCCAAACUCCUACGGGAGGCAGCAGUAGGGAAUCUUCGGCAAUGGACGAAAGUCUGACCGAGCAACGCCGCGUGAGUGAAGAAGGUUUUCGGAUCGUAAAACUCUGUUGUUAGAGAAGAACAAGGAUGAGAGUAACUGUUCAUCCCUUGACGGUAUCUAACCAGAAAGCCACGGCUAACUACGUGCCAGCAGCCGCGGUAAUACGUAGGUGGCAAGCGUUGUCCGGAUUUAUUGGGCGUAAAGCGAGCGCAGGCGGUUUCUUAAGUCUGAUGUGAAAGCCCCCGGCUCAACCGGGGAGGGUCAUUGGAAACUGGGAGACUUGAGUGCAGAAGAGGAGAGUGGAAUUCCAUGUGUAGCGGUGAAAUGCGUAGAUAUAUGGAGGAACACCAGUGGCGAAGGCGGCUCUCUGGUCUGUAACUGACGCUGAGGCUCGAAAGCGUGGGGAGCAAACAGGAUUAGAUACCCUGGUAGUCCACGCCGUAAACGAUGAGUGCUAAGUGUUGGAGGGUUUCCGCCCUUCAGUGCUGCAGCUAACGCAUUAAGCACUCCGCCUGGGGAGUACGACCGCAAGGUUGAAACUCAAAGGAAUUGACGGGGGCCCGCACAAGCGGUGGAGCAUGUGGUUUAAUUCGAAGCAACGCGAAGAACCUUACCAGGUCUUGACAUCCUUUGACCACUCUAGAGAUAGAGCUUCCCCUUCGGGGGCAAGUGACAGGUGGUGCAUGGUUGUCGUCAGCUCGUGUCGUGAGAUGUUGGGUUAAGUCCCGCACCAACCCACCCUUAUUGUUAGUUGCCAUCAUUCAGUGGGCACUAGCAAGACUGCCGGAACAACCGGAGGAAGGUGGGAUGACGUCAAUCACUGCCCCUAGCCGGGCUCCUGCUCAAGGGAAGAACCUUAAAUCCGGG